This 329-nucleotide ribosomal RNA is filed under the name Capnocytophaga sp. AHN10026. RNAcentral describes it as "bacterial SSU rRNA". It matches the Rfam family "Bacterial small subunit ribosomal RNA", at positions 106 to 434 of the family's 1533-position model. The record is from RNAcentral. Lineage: Bacteria; Pseudomonadati; Bacteroidota; Flavobacteriia; Flavobacteriales; Flavobacteriaceae.
GUGCGUAACGCGUAUACAAUCUGCCUUUCACUGGGGGAUAGCCCGAAGAAAUUUGGAUUAAUACCCCAUAGUAUAGGAGCACGGCAUCGUGAUACUAUUMAAGCUUAGGUGGUGAAAGAUGAGUAUGCGUUCUAUUAGCUAGUUGGAGAGGUAACGGCUCCCCAAGGCGAUGAUAGAUAGGGGUUCUGAGAGGGAUGUCCCCCACACUGGUACUGAGAUACGGACCAGACUCCUACGGGAGGCAGCAGUGAGGAAUAUUGGACAAUGGUCSGAAGACUGAUCCAGCCAUGCCGCGUGCAGGAUGAMGGYCUUAUGGRUUGUAAACUGCU